ACGCUCGACACCUACGGGAAGCAGCAGUGGGGAAUAUUGCACAAUGGGGGAAACCCUGAUGCAGCGACGCCGCGUGAGCGAAGAAGUAUUUCGGUAUGUAAAGCUCUAUCAGCAGGGAAGAAACUGACGGUACCUGACUAAGAAGCGCCGGCUAAAUACGUGCCUGCACGCCGACGGUAAUCUGAGCGGGCUGGCAAGGC
Molecule: ribosomal RNA, 200 nt
Filed under: uncultured bacterium
Lineage: Bacteria
Description: partial 16S ribosomal RNA
Rfam family: Bacterial small subunit ribosomal RNA
Source: RNAcentral